RNAcentral lists this transfer RNA (88 nucleotides) under Acaryochloris sp. CRU_2_0. RNAcentral's name for it is "tRNA-Ser". It matches the Rfam family "tRNA". From Rfam's summary of the family: Transfer RNA (tRNA) molecules are approximately 80 nucleotides in length. Their secondary structure includes four short double-helical elements and three loops (D, anti-codon, and T loops). Lineage: Bacteria; Bacillati; Cyanobacteriota; Cyanophyceae; Acaryochloridales; Acaryochloridaceae. The record is from RNAcentral. RNAcentral also lists the same sequence under 2 other names.
GGAGAGGUGGCAGAGUUGGUCGAUUGCGUCUGACUUGAAAUCAGAUGAGCCCUUACGGGUUCCGGGGGUUCGAAUCCCUCCCUCUCCG